GACCACGCCAAAAGCAAAACUCCCAACGCAGAGAUUGGAGGGAUAUGCCUAGCAGCAGCGAUGAGGCAAGUUCCUCUCCUUCCCCGCACCAUUUUUUAGAACGGGACUCAGAGGAGAUAGGGCGGACAACGCAACGCCAGUACAGGAAUCCCCGAGCCCCGAUACCCCGCGAGGAUUAUCCCCAGAGGACACGUACCAGCAGGAGAUACUGAUUACUGCCCUGAUUUAGAAUACAUAGUUGUGAGCAGCGACUUUAGAAAAUGUCUAAAGGGUUGAUUUUAUUACACCAUUGGGAAUUGCCUGGAACACAACGCACAAUUUUUUCACACCAUUGCGACACGAUGGAUGGAUUUGGAGGCUAUUAUAUGUAUUUUUCACAAUAAUAUGAACUUUUAACGUUUAACUUUUUCUAUGGAUUUUACAACACUUUUUAUAUGUUAUAUAUCCAGAUAGGCAUUGGUGAUACUGUUAAGAGCCAAUUGUAAUAAUUUUUUUAAGGGUUAAAUGUGAUACAUUGAUUGAUUAAUUAAGAGGUGGGACUUCCUGUGUGGCUCUUUAAAGCAACCUUUCACUGUGAUUUGUACACACUUGAAAAAGGGCCUUUUGCUGCCCGAAACAUGUUGUGUGGACGCACAAUAAAGCACUGAUUAGCAGGUAUUCUGCUGUUUGCCUCUGAUUUCCAUACCCAUGAUUGAAGGACUCUUGUGGUGACUUGACGGAACACCAGAGGGAAUCAAGGCUUGGCGUUCUGUUUGUUACCCUGUAAGUGAUUUAAUUUAUUUAAUUUAUAAUUUUAAUUAUUAUUAUUUGAACAACCUACAA
Xenopus laevis (African clawed frog) is the source of this 822-nucleotide long non-coding RNA. RefSeq lists it as uncharacterized. The record is from RefSeq and is a predicted model, not a curated record. The transcript has 3 exons. Lineage: Eukaryota; Metazoa; Chordata; Amphibia; Anura; Pipidae.